GGUGACCUCCUGGGAAGUCCUCGUGUUGCACUCUUU
This 36-nucleotide ribosomal RNA is filed under the name Chenopodium watsonii. The record is from RNAcentral. Lineage: Eukaryota; Viridiplantae; Streptophyta; Magnoliopsida; Caryophyllales; Amaranthaceae.